UAAGGUAGCGAAAUUCCUUGUCGGGUAAGUUCCGACCUGCACGAAUGGUGUAAUGAUGGCCAGGCUGUCUCCACCAGAGACUCAGUGAAAUUGAAAUUGCGGUGAAGAUGCCGUAUACCCGCGGCUAGACGGAAAGACCCCGUGAACCUUUACUAUAGCUUGGCACUGAACAUUGACCCUACAUGUGUAGGAUAGGUGGGAGACUUUGAAGUUGGAACGCCAGUUCUGAUGGAGUCGUCCUUGAAAUACCACCCUUGUAUGUUUGAUGUUCUAACGUGGGCCCCUAAUCGGGGUUGCGGACAGUGUCUGGUGGGUAGUUUGACUGGGGCGGUCUCCUCCUAAAGAGUAACGGAGGAGCACGAAGGUUGGCUAAGUACGGUCGGACAUCGUACGGUUAGUGCAAAGGCAGAAGCCAGCUUAACUGCGAGACAGACACGUCGAGCAGGUACGAAAGUAGGUCUUAGUGAUCCGGUGGUUCUGUAUGGAAGGGCCAUCGCUCAACGGAUAAAAGGUACUCCGGGGAUAACAGGCUGAUACCGCCCAAGAGUUCAUAUCGACGGCGGUGUUUGGCACCUCGAUGUCGGCUCAUCACAUCCUGGGGCUGAAGUCGGUCCCAAGGGUAUGGCUGUUCGCCAUUUAAAGUGGUACGCGAGCUGGGUUUAGAACGUCGUGAGACAGUUCGGUCCCUAUCUGCCGUGGGCGUUGGAUGAUUGAUUGGAGUUGCUCCUAGUACGAGAGGACCGGAGUGAACGAACCGCUGGUGUUCGGGUUGUCAUGCCAAUGGCACUGCCCGGUAGCUAUGUUCGGAACGGAUAACCGCUGAAAGCAUCUAAGCGGGAAGCCGGCCAAAAGAUGAGUCAUCCCUUGUACCUUGAGUACACAUAAGGGUCGUUGGAGACCACAACGUUGAUAGGUGAGGUGUGGAAGCGUGGUGACACGUUAAGCUAACUCAUACUAAUUGCCCGAGAGGCUUAACCAUACAACGCCCAAGGUGUU
This 996-nucleotide ribosomal RNA is filed under the name Rheinheimera tangshanensis. RNAcentral's name for it is "Pararheinheimera tangshanensis partial 23S ribosomal RNA". It matches the Rfam family "Bacterial large subunit ribosomal RNA", at positions 1952 to 2925 of the family's 2925-position model. The record is from RNAcentral. Lineage: Bacteria; Pseudomonadati; Pseudomonadota; Gammaproteobacteria; Chromatiales; Chromatiaceae.